AAUAUUGCACAAUGGGCGCAAGCCUGAUGCAGCCAUGCCGCGUGUGUGAAGAAGGCCUUCGGGUUGUAAAGCACUUUCAGUCAGGAGGAAAGGUUAGUAGUUAAUACCUGCUAGCUGUGACGUUACUGACAGAAGAAGCACCGGCUAACUCCGUGCCAGCAGCCGCGGUAAUACGGGGGGUGCGAGCGUUAAUCGGAAUUACUGGGCGUAAAGCGUACGCAGGCGGUUUGUUAAGCGAGAUGUGAAAGCCCCGGGCUCAACCUGGGAACUGCAUUUCGAACUGGCAAACUAGAGUGUGAUAGAGGGUGGUAGAAUUUCAGGUGUAGCGGUGAAAUGCGUAGAGAUCUGAAGGAAUACCGAUGGCGAAGGCAGCCACCUGGGUCAACACUGACGCUCAUGUACGAAAGCGUGGGGAGCAAACAGGAUUAGAUACCCUGGUAGUCCACGCCGUA
RNAcentral lists this ribosomal RNA (452 nucleotides) under uncultured marine bacterium. Its description in RNAcentral is "bacterial SSU rRNA". It matches the Rfam family "Bacterial small subunit ribosomal RNA", at positions 360 to 804 of the family's 1533-position model. The record is from RNAcentral.